GGAUGGAAACACUGUUGGAUUUCUUUUUGUUGUAUUUUAAAUGUUCAAUUAAUUCACUUUUUCCAAGAAACCUACUAAAUGCAGCCUCUAUGUAAAGCACAUAGAAGUGGUACUUAAAAAAAAAAAAAAAACUAUUUUACCAGUUUACAUUUGUUACAUUUAUUUUAAAACCUAAGCAGUUAGAUUUAAGUUACUUUGGUGUUGUGGAACAUAGUCUUCAUAGCAAUAUUAUUGUGUGUUACAUUUCUAGAUCUGUUUUGCUAACUGAAGCCUUGUGAGGUAGGAAGGCUCAUACUUGCAAUCCCAGUAUUUGGACAGUUAAGGCCAGCCAGGGCUGUAUAUAGAGGCCUUAAUCCCACAAACAAACAAAAAACAAAAUCCCCAAAAUCAAUAAAAAGAGAAACAACUUUGUGCAACCCAUUAUAGGAAAUGGGAAGUGAUAUUUAACAACUUGUCCUAUAGCCACAGGUUCCCAUUACUUAUUCAGAUGCUGCAGUAACUAAGUUUCUCCUUUGGAGUUUGCGAGCAUUCAACAUCUGCUCUCACUCCUUAGUUGGAGUGCCAGGCCAGGAUCAUCCCACACUGGUCACCACAGCAGAGUUGCCCAGGAUUCUGUAUUAGCCCCUUGGUAACUAGUGACCCAGUAUUAGGGAAGGUUUUACUCUCUUUGGAUCUCAGGCUCUUUGUCUGCAUCAUGGGGAUGGUAUUAAGUUCCAAAGUGUCACUGGCAUAGACAGAAACACUAAUCUAGAGAACCACUCACUGUCCCCUGGGCUGUGUACUGUGUGUGAGCCAUACCAGACAGAUCCAGCCACAUUUAUGUAUCUUUGCAUAUCUCUGUCUUGUUCUGUCUACUGGUCAUAUUCAGAGGGCCACACCCAAGCACAUGCUCUAGAACCUACCCUGGCAUUUCAUUUAAGGCAGGUAUGCUCAGGGAACAGCUGGGAAUGUCUAGAGAAAUAUUUUUAUUUUAACAACUGGUAGGAGCGACAGGCACCUAGUCAAUAGAGACUAGGCAUGUGGCAUGUAUGGCAGCCCCUUCUCUAGCAAUGAUCCAGUCCAGACAUCCACACUGCUAAAGUUGAGACGCUGACUUAGAGAAUCCCACAGGCUCUGGUGGUACUGUGACUGUACAGACUUACAGCGACAUCGGCUCACAGGUCUAGGGUUUUGCCAAGAUCAGCAAGCUGCUUCCUUAUCAUGAGGUAUUUCUAGAAGUCUAACAGCCCCGUGGUAGCAGAAGACACCGCAUUAGCAAAAACAAACUGAUUCAUCAACGCAGCUCAUCACCUUAGUGGUCUCUGGUGGUUAGACAUUUCAGGUGUAAUCCUUGCAAGGAUAUACAUGUUAAAAUCACGUUACAUGAAUUCAAAAGGAACCUAGAAAUUAUGUUUGAGACAGACAUAAAUUGGAACCCAUGAAGCAGAUCCUAGGGUUCCUUGAACAUUGUUUGAAAAUCAUGUGUAUGAAGUUCUCCUCUCAAGUCUGGCUCUGGCUUAGGACGAGGCAGGCAAUGUAAUUCCCAGUGGCCAGGCAUUGUCACAGACCAGCUUAGCAUUCACCCGAUGACCAGGCUGGAAACCAAAGCUCCCUCUUCAUCUUACACACAUGUGUCUCUCUUCAUCUUACACACAUGUGUCACACAUCUUCAUCUUACAUACAUGUGUCUCUCUUCAUCUUAUACACGUGUCUCUCUUCAUCUUACACAUAUGUGUCUCUCUUCAUCUUACACACAUGUGUCUCUCCUCAUCUUACACACACUUGUCUCUUCCCUUCAGCAGCUGCAGGGACCAACAGCAUGGGACCAAUGCAACUGUGUUCCAGUCUCUUUCCCUCUUCCAUCCAGGCAAACAGCCCUGGGAUCCUAGGCUUUCAGGAAGUACCCUCUGUCCCUUUGUCAUUAAUACUCCUGGGCUCAGUCCAAUCCUUUACUUAUUCUCCAAGGCCUGCACUGUGCUGCUUAGGGCAAUGUUCCUCUUAAAGGAAGCUGAGUGCCUUGUGAGGAAGAAAGGGCUCUGCACCCCCAGUGUGUGCUCUAGAGCCUAGUGCCUCUGUACUUGAUCUGUGAUUGGCUGGCCAUUUGUUAACGUUUGAGUUUCCUCACCUGCAAAUAUUCAUGUUCUCCCUGUGUGCUUGAAGAUGGCUUAACUCUCCUUGUCAUCAUUUAAAUGUUUGUUGUGCUCAUUAUU
This 2189-nucleotide long non-coding RNA is filed under the name Mus musculus (house mouse). RNAcentral describes it as "long non-coding RNA chr8:79085532-79087721". The record is from RNAcentral. Lineage: Eukaryota; Metazoa; Chordata; Mammalia; Rodentia; Muridae.